RNAcentral lists this long non-coding RNA (656 nucleotides) under Coccomyxa subellipsoidea. Its description in RNAcentral is "long non-coding RNA (CSUB_LNC000345)". The record is from RNAcentral. Lineage: Eukaryota; Viridiplantae; Chlorophyta; Trebouxiophyceae; Coccomyxaceae.
CAGCGUUCCAGGCAGCCUUGAAGGGCAGGCGAGCUUGGUGCACAUCCAGCAUCCUUGCUUCCAAAUCCAGCCCACACCCUGCACACCCACAUGAGUCAUUAAUUGAUAUCUUUGUUUGUACUGUAAACCCUGCGAUUCGGAUGGAUGCACCAGAUGCCCUGAACUUGCUAUGGAUCAGCUGGCAAGGGAUGCUCCUCUUCUGGCUGGCCUCAAAGUCUACAGCAGUUGAAGGGUCAAAACCUCUCCAUGCAUGUGCUUUGCUGUAGAAUCACUUUACUUGUUGAGACGCCCUCCAAAACACUCUCAAGAGACUCUACGGCCUUUGAAAAGGCAAAAGGCAAUCUCUAAGAAAAAUAAAGAUCUUCGCAAUCAACUCUGGGCCUCAACACAAAGCCGCUUACGGGGUCUUACGCCUGGUUCUCGAAAGAACGGCGGGGUGGUCAAGAGGGCAGAACCCCAGACAAUAAAGCUAAGGUAUUACCUGCGCCGGUCUCUGCGCAUGCUGAGGUCAGCAGGUGAGUCAUCGCUAUGGAGCCCAGCGCAGCGUGCAAAGCGGGCAGGUGGCACAGCAGGCAACGGAAGUCAACAAAGCCCCUGACGACGCACUGCGCCGCGAAGAGCAUUGCUCCUUCCACCUCAGCUGCACUGUCCACCUG